UAGGGAAUCUUCCGCAAUGGACGCAAGUCUGACGGAGCAACGCCGCGUGAGUGAAGAAGGAUUUCGGUUCGUAAAACUCUGUUGUUAGAGAAGAACAGCGCAUAGAGUAACUGUUAUGCGUGUGACGGUAUCUAACAAGAAAGCCACGGCUAACUACGUGCCAGCAGCCGCGGUAAUACGUAGGUGGCAAGCGUUGUCCGGAUUUAUUGGGCGUAAAGCGAGCGCAGGCGGUCAAUUAAGUCUGAUGUGAAAGCCCCCGGCUCAACCGGGGAGGGUCAUUGGAAACUGGUUGACUUGAGUGCAGAAGAGGAGAGUGGAAUUCCAUGUGUAGCGGUGAAAUGCGUAGAUAUAUGGAGGAACACCGGUGGCGAAAGCGGCUCUCUGGUCUGUAACUGACGCUGAGGCUCGAAAGCGUGGGGAGCGAACAGG
RNAcentral lists this ribosomal RNA (429 nucleotides) under Bacteroidota bacterium. RNAcentral's name for it is "Bacteroidetes bacterium partial 16S ribosomal RNA". It matches the Rfam family "Bacterial small subunit ribosomal RNA", at positions 355 to 776 of the family's 1533-position model. The record is from RNAcentral. Lineage: Bacteria; Pseudomonadati; Bacteroidota.